RNAcentral lists this ribosomal RNA (468 nucleotides) under uncultured bacterium. RNAcentral's name for it is "partial 16S ribosomal RNA". It matches the Rfam family "Bacterial small subunit ribosomal RNA", at positions 28 to 507 of the family's 1533-position model. The record is from RNAcentral.
GAUGAACGCUGACAGAAUGCUUAACACAUGCGAGUCUACUUGAAUUUGGGUUUUUUAACUUAGAUUUGGGUGGCGGACGGGUGAGUAACGCGUAAAGAACUUGCCUCACAGUUAGGGACAACAUUUGGAAACGAAUGCUAAUACCUGAUAUUAUGAAUAUAUGGCAUCAUAUAAUUAUGAAAGCUAUAAGCGCUGUGAGAGAGCUUUGCGUCCCAUUAGCUAGUUGGAGAGGUAACGGCUCACCAAGGCGAUGAUGGGUAGCCGGCCUGAGAGGGUGAACGGCCACAAGGGGACUGAGACACGGCCCUUACUCCUACGGGAGGCAGCAGUGGGGAAUAUUGGACAAUGGACCAAGAGUCUGAUCCAGCAAUUCUGUGUGCACGAUGACGUUUUUCGGAAUGUAAAGUGCUUUCAGUUGGGAAGAAAAAAAUGACGGUACCAACAGAAGAAGUGACGGCUAAAUACGUG